UACAGAGGGUGCAAGCGUUAAUCGGAUUUACUGGGCGUAAAGGGCGCGUAGGCGGUUAAUUAAGUCAGUUGUGAAAUCCCCGGGCUUAACCUGGGAACUGCAACUGAUACUGAUGAACUGGAGUGAUGUAGAGGGUAGUGGAAUUUCCGGUGUAGCGGUGAAAUGCGUAGAGAUCGGAAGGAACACCAGUGGCGAAGGCGGCUACCUGGACAUUAACUGACGCUGAGGCGCGAGAGCGUGGGGAGCAAACAGG
RNAcentral lists this ribosomal RNA (253 nucleotides) under uncultured bacterium. Its description in RNAcentral is "partial 16S ribosomal RNA". It matches the Rfam family "Bacterial small subunit ribosomal RNA", at positions 524 to 776 of the family's 1533-position model. The record is from RNAcentral.